This 409-nucleotide ribosomal RNA is filed under the name Bacillota bacterium. RNAcentral describes it as "Firmicutes bacterium partial 16S ribosomal RNA". It matches the Rfam family "Bacterial small subunit ribosomal RNA", at positions 355 to 776 of the family's 1533-position model. The record is from RNAcentral. Lineage: Bacteria; Bacillati; Bacillota.
UGGGGAAUAUUGGACAAUGGGCGGAAGCCUGAUCCAGCAACGCCGCGUGAGGGAUGACGGCCUUCGGGUUGUAAACCUCUUUCAGCACAGACGAAGCGAAAGUGACGGUAUGUGCAGAAGAAGCACCGGCCAACUACGUGCCAGCAGCCGCGGUAAUACGUAGGGUGCGAGCGUUGUCCGGAAUUAUUGGGCGUAAAGGGCUCGUAGGCGGUUUGUCGCGUCGGGAGUGAAAACACACAGCUUAACUGUGUGCUGGCUUCCGAUACGGGCAGACUAGAGGUAUGCAGGGGAGAACGGAAUUCCUGGUGUAGCGGUGAAAUGCGCAGAUAUCAGGAGGAACACCGGUGGCGAAGGCGGUUCUCUGGGCAUUACCUGACGCUGAGGAGCGAAAGUGUGGGGAGCGAACAGG